UUCGCCCUUUUCCGGUUGAUCCCGCCGGACCUGACUGCUAUCGGAUUGAUACUAAGCCAUGCGAGUCAUUGUAGCAAUACAAGGCAGACGGCUCAGUAACGCGUAGUCAACCUACCCUAUGGACGGGAAUAACCUCGGGAAACUGAGUAUAAUGCCCGAUAGAACACUAUGCCUGGAAUGGUUUGUGUUCCAAAUGAUUUAUCGCCGUAGGAUGGGACUGCGGCCUAUCAGUUUGUUGGUGAGGUAAUGGCCCACCAAGACUAUUACAGGUACGGGCUCUGAGAGGAGUGGCCCGGAGAUGGGUACUGAGACACGGACCCAGGCCCUAUGGGGCGCAGCAGGCGAGAAAACUUUGCAAUGUGCGAAAGCACGACAAGGUUAAUCCGAGUGGUUUCUGCUAAAGGAACCUUUUGACAGUCCUAGAAACACUGUUGAAUAAGGGGUGGGCAAGUUCUGGUGUCAGCCGCCGCGGUAAAACCAGCACCUCAAGUGGUCAGGAUGAUUAUUGGGCCUAAAGCAUCCGUAGCCGGCUCUGUAAGUUUUCGGUUAAAUCUGUACGCUUAACGUACAGGCUGCUGGGAAUACUGCAGAGCUAGGGAGUGGGAGAGGUAGACGGUACUCGGGAGGAAGUGGUAAAAUGCUUUGAUCUCUCGAUGACCACCUGUGGCGAAGGCGGUCUACCAGAACACGUCCGACGGUGAGGGAUGAAAGCUGGGGGAGCAAACCGGAUUAGAUACCCGGGUAGUCCCAGCUGUAAACUAUGCAAACUCAGUGAUGCACUGGCUU
Molecule: ribosomal RNA, 786 nt
Filed under: uncultured archaeon
Lineage: Archaea
Description: bacterial SSU rRNA
Rfam family: Archaeal small subunit ribosomal RNA
Source: RNAcentral